UUGCUAUGAAGAAAUACUUGUGCUAACGGUGGUGAUUGGGUUCUCCACAACCGUCUAAUCUUCGGACGAAAGAAGCGCAUCUGAGCAG
This 88-nucleotide small nucleolar RNA is filed under the name Olea europaea subsp. europaea. RNAcentral describes it as "small nucleolar RNA snoR114". It matches the Rfam family "small nucleolar RNA snoR114". The record is from Rfam by way of RNAcentral. Lineage: Eukaryota; Viridiplantae; Streptophyta; Magnoliopsida; Lamiales; Oleaceae.